RNAcentral lists this ribosomal RNA (253 nucleotides) under uncultured bacterium. Its description in RNAcentral is "partial 16S ribosomal RNA". It matches the Rfam family "Bacterial small subunit ribosomal RNA", at positions 524 to 776 of the family's 1533-position model. The record is from RNAcentral.
UACGUAGGGUGCAGGCGUUAAUCGGAAUUACUGGGCGUAAAGCGUGCGCAGGCGGUCUCUUAAGACAGGUGUGAAAUCCCCGGGCUUAACCUGGGAACUGCGCUUGUAACUGAGAGGCUAGAGUGUGGCAGAGGGGGGUGGAAUUCCACGUGUAGCAGUGAAAUGCGUAGAGAUGUGGAGGAACACCGAUGGCGAAGGCAGCCACCUGGGCUAACACUGACGCUCAUGCACGAAAGCGUGGGGAGCAAACAGG